GCCAGGUGUGGUGCCACACACCUGUAGUCCCAGCUACUCAGGAGGCUGAGGUGGGAGGAUCGCUUGAACCCGGGAGUUCAAGGCUGCAGUGAGCCGUGAUCCCACUACUGCACUCCAGCCUGGGUGACAGAGUGAGAACCUGUCUCUA
Molecule: unclassified non-coding RNA, 148 nt
Organism: Pongo abelii (Sumatran orangutan)
Lineage: Eukaryota; Metazoa; Chordata; Mammalia; Primates; Hominidae
Rfam family: Metazoan signal recognition particle RNA
About the family: The signal recognition particle (SRP) is a universally conserved ribonucleoprotein. It is involved in the co-translational targeting of proteins to membranes. The eukaryotic SRP consists of a 300-nucleotide 7S RNA and six proteins: SRPs 72, 68, 54, 19, 14, and 9.
Source: Ensembl